AUGUGGCUGAAGGCAUUAUCUGGUUGGGAUAGUAAACAGAGCUGGGGUUCGGCGGCACUGGCCUACUUGUACCGUCAGUUGGAUGAGGCGUGUUGUAGGCACAAAGAUGAAGCUAGUAUUGGUGGUCCGUUGGUCCUACUUUCGGUUUGGAUGUGGGAACACUUCUCAGUUGGACGACCGAGAGUGAUUGGUUACGACGCCUGGGAUGAUCAUGACAACCCGCUACGGAAGCCUACAUGGGCGUACAAGUGGGACAAGGUUUCGGAGUUCACUGGUGACCCAAACAGGAUGUACAGGGAGUACACCAAUGAGUUUGACACGCUAACCUCUGAGCAGGUGACAUGGCAGCCAUAUGGAGCGCGGGACAAUUUUGCUUUCAUCCCUGAUUUCCAGUUGAACCCGAAGUGCACGGAGGAAUCACAUCUUUGGCUGAUGCGGUGCCCAUUGAUAUGCUUAUAUGCAGUCGAGUUCCACCUUCCACAGCGUGUGAUGACCCAAUUUGGGUUAUUUCAGGAUACACCGCCGAAGUGGAAGGACACGGGUGUCGCGCUUCACGGCUUGGACAAAAUGAAGCAGAAAAAGAUCAAGAACUGGGAGUCAUAUCAUGACAAGUUCAUCAAGAAAUGGAAUUACAUCGUGAGGGUGGCUAAUGAUAACCGACAAGUACAUCUCCAAGAGUACGAUGAAGCUGCAUUUGACAAAUAUCUUCGUUGGUUUCUUAGCGAGUCCCGUGUGGAGUUAUGCCCGCCUGCUUAUGAGGAGGGCAUAUUGGAGGCGCCCACAGGUUUUGAAGGGACUGCCAACCUUGAGUAUAACAGGCUCAUCAGAGAGGGCAGACAAACCGGAUUCGCUCCUGUGAUCAACUUUAUUUGUAGCGCUACUCGGUUACGUUCCUUAGCUCAUCUUCUUGGUUGCCGUACUGUCGAGGCCGACAUGCCCACCUAG
This 945-nucleotide ribosomal RNA is filed under the name Triticum aestivum (bread wheat). RNAcentral's name for it is "partial small subunit ribosomal RNA". The record is from RNAcentral. Lineage: Eukaryota; Viridiplantae; Streptophyta; Magnoliopsida; Poales; Poaceae.